Molecule: ribosomal RNA, 771 nt
Filed under: Salinivibrio costicola
Lineage: Bacteria; Pseudomonadati; Pseudomonadota; Gammaproteobacteria; Vibrionales; Vibrionaceae
Description: bacterial SSU rRNA
Rfam family: Bacterial small subunit ribosomal RNA
Source: RNAcentral
AUUGAACGCUGGCGGCAGGCCUAACACAUGCAAGUCGAGCGGAAACGGCAGUAUUGAAGCUUCGGUGGAUUUACUGGACGUCGAGCGGCGGACGGGUGAGUAACGGCUGGGAACCUGCCCUGACGAGGGGGAUAACCGUUGGAAACGACGGCUAAUACCGCAUAAUGUCUACGGACCAAAGGUGGCCUCUACAUGUAAGCUAUCGCGUUGGGAUGGGCCCAGUUAGGAUUAGCUAGUUGGUAAGGUAACGGCUUACCAAGGCGACGAUCCUUAGCUGGUUUGAGAGGAUGAUCAGCCACACUGGGACUGAGACACGGCCCAGACUCCUACGGGAGGCAGCAGUGGGGAAUAUUGCACAAUGGGGGAGACCCUGAUGCAGCCAUGCCGCGUGUGUGAAGAAGGCCUUCGGGUUGUAAAGCACUUUCAGCAGUGAGGAGGGUAGUGUACUUAAUACGUGCAUUGCUUGACGUUAGCUGCAGAAGAAGCACCGGCUAACUCCGUGCCAGCAGCCGCGGUAAUACGGAGGGUGCGAGCGUUAAUCGGAAUUACUGGGCGUAAAGCGCAUGCAGGCGGUUUGUUAAGUCAGAUGUGAAAGCCCGGGGCUCAACCUCGGAACCGCAUUUGAAACUGGCAGGCUAGAGUCUUGUAGAGGGGGGUAGAAUUUCAGGUGUAGCGGUGAAAUGCGUAGAGAUCUGAAGGAAUACCAGUGGCGAAGGCGGCCCCCUGGACAAAGACUGACGCUCAGAUGCGAAGGCGUGGGUAGCAAACAGG